GAGUUUGAUCCUGGCUCAGGAUGAACGCUAGCGGCAGGCCUAACACAUGCAAGUCGAACGGUAACAGCAGAGCUUGCUCUGGCUGACGAGUGGCGCACGGGUGCGUAACGCGUAUACAACCUUUUACAGAGAGAUAGCCUUUAGAAAUGAAGAUUAAUACCUCAUAGUAUGAUAAUAAGGCAUCUUAUUUUAAUUAAAGCUUCGGCGGUAAAAGAUGAGUAUGCGUUCUAUUAGCUAGAUGGUGUGGUAACGGCACACCAUGGCAACGAUAGAUAGGGGCCCUGAGAGGGGGAUCCCCCACACUGGUACUGAGACACGGACCAGACUCCUACGGGAGGCAGCAGUGAGGAAUAUUGGACAAUGGAGGCAACUCUGAUCCAGCCAUGCCGCGUGCAGGAAGACUGCCCUAUGGGUUGUAAACUGCUUUUAUACAGGAAGAAACAUCUCUACGUGUAGAGACUUGACGGUACUGUAAGAAUAAGGAUCGGCUAACUCCGUGCCAGCAGCCGCGGUAAUACGGGGGGUGCAAGCGUUAUUCGGAAUCAUUGGGUUUAAAGGGUCCGUAGGCGGACUAUUAAGUCAGAGGUGAAAUCCCACAGCUUAACUGUGGAACUGCCUUUGAUACUGGUAGUCUUGAGUUAGUGUGAAGUGGUUAGAAUGUGUAGUGUAUCGGUGAAAUGCAUAGAUAUUACACAGCAUACCAAUUGCGAAGGCCGAUCACUAACACUAUAUUGACGCUGAGGGACGAAAGCGUGGGGAGCGAACAGGAUUAGAUACCCUGGUAGUCCACGCCGUAAACGAUGGUUACUAGCUGUUCGGACUUCGGAUUCGUACUGAGUGGCUAAGCGAAAGUGAUAAGUAUCCCACCUGGGGAGUACGUUCGCAAGAAUGAAACUCAAAGGAAUUGACGGGGGCCCGCACAAGCGGUGGAGCAUGUGGUUUAAUUCGAUGAUACGCGAGGAACCUUACCAGGGCUUAAAUGUAGAUUGACAGGGGUGGAGAUAGCUAUUUCUUCGGACUAUCUACAAGGUGCUGCAUGGUUGUCGUCAGCUCGUGCCGUGAGGUGUCAGGUUAAGUCCUAUAACGAGCGCAACCCCUGUUGUUAGUUGCCAGCGAGUCAUGUCGGGAACUCUAACAAGACUGCCGGUGCAAACCGUGAGGAAGGUGGGGAUGACGUCAAAUCAUCACGGCCCUUACGUCCUGGGCCACACACGUGCUACAAUGGCCGGUACAGAAAGCAGCCACUACGUGAGUAGGAGCGAAUCUUCAAAACCGGUCUCAGUUCGGAUCGGAGUCUGCAACUCGACUCCGGGAAGCGGGAAGCGCGAGGAAGCGGAUAUCAGCCAUGAUCCGGUGAAGACGGUCCCGGGCCUUGUACACACCGCCCGUC
Molecule: ribosomal RNA, 1390 nt
Filed under: uncultured prokaryote
Description: partial 16S ribosomal RNA
Rfam family: Bacterial small subunit ribosomal RNA
Source: RNAcentral